This 231-nucleotide ribosomal RNA is filed under the name uncultured bacterium. RNAcentral describes it as "partial 16S ribosomal RNA". It matches the Rfam family "Bacterial small subunit ribosomal RNA", at positions 118 to 350 of the family's 1533-position model. The record is from RNAcentral.
UGAGCAACCUGCCCCUGGCUCUGGGAUAACUCCGGGAAACCGGAGCUAAUACCGGAUACGAGACCGAUUGGCAUCUUUACGGUCUGGAAAGUUUUUCGGCCAGGGAUGGGCUCGCGGCCUAUCAGCUUGUUGGUGGGGUAACGGCCCACCAAGGCGACGACGGGUAGCCGGCCUGAGAGGGCGACCGGCCACACUGGGACUGAGACACGGCCCAGACUCCUACGGGAGGCA